This 71-nucleotide transfer RNA is filed under the name Lepidosiren paradoxa (South American lungfish). RNAcentral describes it as "tRNA-Leu". Lineage: Eukaryota; Metazoa; Chordata; Ceratodontiformes; Lepidosirenidae. The record is from RNAcentral.
ACUUUUAAAGGAAAACAGUUAUCCAUUGACCUUAGGAGCCAAACCUCUUGGUGCAAGUCCAAGUGAAAGUA